UUGGGUUUAAGGGUCCGUAGGCGGAUGAUUAAGUCAGGGGUGAAAGUUUGCAGCUCAACUGUAAAAUUGCCUUUGAUACUGGUUAUCUUGAGUUGUAUUGAAGUAGGCGGAAUAUGUAGUGUAGCGGUGAAAUGCAUAGAUAUUACAUAGAACACCAAUUGCGAAGGCAGCUUACUAAGUACUAACUGACGCUGAUGGACGAAAGCGUGGGUAGCGAACAGGAUUAGAUACCCUGGUAGUCCACGCCGUAAACGAUGGAUACUAGCUGUUCGGGGCCUUGAGUUCUGAGCGGCUAAGCGAAAGUGAUAAGUAUCCCACCUGGGGAGUACGUUCGCAAGAAUGAAACUCAAAGGAAUUGACGGGGGCCCGCACAAGCGGUGGAGCAUGUGGUUUAAUUCGAUGAUACGCGAGGAACUUUACCAGGGCUUAAAUGUAGUCUGACAGCUUUAGAGAUAGAGUUUUCUUCGGACAGAUUACAAGGUGCUGCAUGGUUGUCGUCAGCUCGUGCCGUGAGGUGUCAGGUUAAGUCCUAUAACGAGCGCAACCCCUGUCGUUAGUUGCCAGCAUGUCAUGAUGGGGACUCUAACGAGACUGCCGGUGCAAACCGCGAGGAAGGUGGGGAUGACGUCAAAUCAUCACGGCCCUUACGUCCUGGGCCACACACGUGCUACAAUGG
RNAcentral lists this ribosomal RNA (676 nucleotides) under uncultured bacterium. RNAcentral's name for it is "bacterial SSU rRNA". It matches the Rfam family "Bacterial small subunit ribosomal RNA", at positions 554 to 1233 of the family's 1533-position model. The record is from RNAcentral.